GACAGAGGGUGCAAACGUUGUUCGGAAUUACUGGGCGUAAAGCGAGUGUAGGCGGUUUCCUAAGUCGGAUGUGAAAGCCCCGGGCUCAACCCGGGAAGUGCACUCGAAACUGGGAGGCUAGAGUAUCGGAGAGGUUGGUGGAAUUCUCGGUGUAGAGGUGAAAUUCGUAGAUAUCGAGAGGAACACCGGUGGCGAAGGCGGCCAACUGGACGAAUACUGACGCUGAGACUCGAAAGCGUGGGGAGCAAACGGG
Molecule: ribosomal RNA, 253 nt
Filed under: uncultured bacterium
Lineage: Bacteria
Description: partial 16S ribosomal RNA
Rfam family: Bacterial small subunit ribosomal RNA
Source: RNAcentral